RNAcentral lists this ribosomal RNA (1411 nucleotides) under metagenome. RNAcentral's name for it is "bacterial SSU rRNA". It matches the Rfam family "Archaeal small subunit ribosomal RNA". The record is from RNAcentral.
AGAGUCUAUUCUGCUCGAGGUUGCGGCUAUUUGGAUUCCAUUAAGCCAUGCAAGUCACCUCAGCAAUGGGGGGCGAACCGCUCAGUAAUAUACAGUUAAUCUACCCUAAGAUUAAUGAUAACCUCGGGAAACUGAGAUUAAUAAUUGAUAGAUGAAAGAGGCUGGAAUGCGCUUUCAUUGAAACGCAAGGUCCUAGGAUGAGACUGUACCUGAUUAGGUAGUUGUUGAGGUAAUUACUCAACAAGCCGUAUCAGUAAGGGCUCUUAACGGAGAGGCCCUGAGAAGGACUCUGAGACACAAGUCCUAGCUCCAUGGAGUGCAGCAGGCGGGAGAAUUUUCCAAUGUCCGACAGGAUGAGAAAGGAAUCCAAAGUGCUUCUCAAUUUGAGAAGCUUUUAUUUACUAUAAAAAAGUAGAAGAAUAAGGACUGGGUAAGACCGGUGCCAGCCGCCGCGGUAAUCCCGGCAGUCCAAGUCGCAAUCGCAUUUAUUAGGUCUAAAACAUUCGUAGCUUGCUUCGUAAGUUCUUUGUGAAAUCGUUGCGCUUAACGUAACGGCGUGCAGAGGAUACUGCGAGGCUAGAGAUUGGGAGACGUAACGAGUACAGCAAAGGUAGUGGUAAAAUACUUUAAUCUUUGCUGGACUAACAAUUUGGCGAAGGCACGUUACGAGAACAAUUCUGACGGUGAGGGAUGAAGGCCGGGGGCGCAAAAUGGAUUAGAUACCCAUGUAGUCCCGGCAGUAAACACUGCUUACUAAACAUUGUGUUCUCCUAGAGAGGAUGCAGUGCUGAAGAGAAGUCGUAGAGUAAGCUACCUGGGGAGUAUAGCCGCAAGGCCGAAACUUAAAGAAAUUGGCGGGGGGGCACACAAGGGGUGACGCGUGCGGUUCAAUUAGAUUCUACACCGUGAACCUCACCAGGACCGAUAGCAGGAUGAAGGUCAGUCUAAAGGGCUUACCUAACACGCUAAGAGGAGAUGCAUAGCCGUCGUAAGCUUGUGCCGUGAGGUGCCCUGUUAAAUCAGGUAACAAGCGAGACCUGCAUAUAUAAUUGCUACUUGGAGAGAGAGCACAUUAUACAGACUGCCUCAGUAAUGAGGAGGAAGGCGCAGUCAACGACAGGUCUGUACGUCCCGAAUGCCCUGGGCUACACGCGCGCGGCAAUGCUACAUGCAAUGAGACGCAACUCCGAAAGGAGAAGCAAAUCCCUUAAAAUGUAGCUUAGUUCAGAUUGAAGUCUGCAACUCGAUUUCAUGACGCUGGAAUCCCUAGUAAUCGGACGUUAUCAGCGUCCGGUGAAUAAGUCCCUGUCCCUUGCACACACUGCCCAUCAUUCCAACCGAGUUAUGUUUGGAUGAAGUCCGCAAGGAAGGAAUCCAGAUAUAGUAAGGUAGGACAAGUUGUCACAAGGUA